GAAAGGAAAGUCUUUCUGCAAAUUGUAAAAAGACUACUGAGAAGAUAUAAAUUAAACCUUUAUAGAUCUAAGUAUAGACCCCAAAACUAUAAAUCUUUUAGGUGAAAAUAUAAGAAUAUUUUCAUGACCUCGGGGUAAGUAAAUAACUUUUAGAUAAAGCACAGAAAGCAAUAGGCAUAAAAACCGAUAACUGGAAUGCAGUAGCACAAUCUCAGCUCACUGCAACAUUUGCCUCCAGGUUCAAGCAUUUCUCCUGCCUCAGCCUCCCGAGUAGCUGGGACUACAAGCGCCCACCACCAUGU
This 302-nucleotide long non-coding RNA is filed under the name Pan troglodytes (chimpanzee). RNAcentral's name for it is "long non-coding RNA NONPTRT001092". The record is from RNAcentral. Lineage: Eukaryota; Metazoa; Chordata; Mammalia; Primates; Hominidae.